Molecule: long non-coding RNA, 103 nt
Organism: Cotesia glomerata
Lineage: Eukaryota; Metazoa; Arthropoda; Insecta; Hymenoptera; Braconidae
Exons: 4
Source: RefSeq, a predicted model, not a curated record
CUUGCACUACAGCGCCGCUCUAUAAGUCGGAUGUUGUUGCGUGAGCAAAAUGCUCAUAACGUGAGUGCUGACGGGUUAACUCAAAAAAAUAAAAUUAUUUUGA